UCAUGAGUUUUGACAGCUCUUUGUUUACCUACUAUUCGUAUCAAAACUUUCAGUCUGAGUUGCUGGAAGACGGCGCCGAUGGUUGGGUGGUAAGCGUGACCGCCACCCACCCCAGUUGGUCUGGGUUCAAUCCCAGUCGAGGUCGUUGAGAUUUUUCAGAGGUGAGAAAAAUCUGAGGUCACGCCUUCCUUCGGAAGGGAAGUAAAGCCGUUGGUCCCCGGUCCAUGAGUUGAUGGGUCGAUAUCCAAUCCAGAUAGUGGGAGUGUCACCUCUCUGGCGUCGGUGUUUGGCCUCGUAGCGGAAGUAGGCCGACGGAAAAUAAACAGAAUUGGAGGAGGAGGAGUUGCUGGAACACCACUGCUUAGUCAAUUGCAGAUGGCGAAAAGUCGAAAAGAGGACGUCAUCCGAUGUGUACGAGAAAUUCAGCACGGAAUGCCUGUACGCAAAGCUUGUUUUCGCAACAGAAUACCUCGUUCUAUGAUAAAUUUCCGCUUAGGAAAGAAGUGCAAGAAACAGGGAAGAACCGGUCCGCCAACCGCCCUCGGAAAUGUGGAGGAAAAGGAGCUCGUAAACUGGAUACAAAAAAUUGGCCCGGAAAGGGUUUCCCGUUACCAAACACCGUUUGAUGAACAGAAUCGCGAUGUACAUUGAGCAGAAUCCCGAGAAAGGCAAAUUUAGAAAAGGAAAGCCAAGUCAUUCAUGGUUUACUAGUUUCGUGAACCGACACAAGGAGCUUGCCAUUCGGAAACCCAAAGGCGUCACAAACGCAAGUGCCAAUGUCAUUGAAAAGGACAUCAGGCAGUGGUUUCGGGAAGUUUUUGACAUUUUAAAGGAAGAGGGCCUUGUAGAAAUUGUUCGAAACGCGAAGAGCGUCCUAAAUGGUGACGAAUCAAGAUUUUAUCUCGAUCCAGCUGUAGAGAAAGUUAUCGCUAUGCGAGGCGAAAAGAACGUUUAUAAAGUCGACCAUGGUCCAGCAAAAAAAAACAACAGUUAUGUUUACUUGUUCAGCCGAUGGGAAAAUGUAUCCACCAAUGGUGGUCUUGCCCUACAAAAAAAAUCCCAUCUGGCGUUAUACAAAUUGUGCCCGCAGAUUGGGGAAUAGGAAAAACUGACUAUGGGUGGAUGACGACCACAUGUUCCCUGAAAUAUGUACAAAAUGUAAUUCACCCACAAUUAGUUGAAGAAGGUGUCAUCCCAGCCGUUUAUUUUAUUGAUGGGCACUCGUCACACACAGCAUGGGAGACUGCGGAUGAGUGUCGCAAGCUAGGCAUCCAUUUGGUUUGACUAUACGCAAAUUGUACAAGAAUCUUGCAACCGCUUGAUGUAGCAGUUUUCAAGCCCCUUAAAAGUGCCUGGCUUAAAGUUGUUGAUGAUUGGAAACUAUUAAACCCUAACAAGCAUAUAAGAACUGGAGAUUUUAGCCCGUUGCUUGUGAAAGCAAUGGAUUCAGUGAGUGCAAACGUUAUAAUAAACGGAUUUAAACGGUGUGGUCUGUUUCCAUUCGAUGAGAACAGCGUCGAUUACACUAAAUGCCUUGGUCGCAAUCGUCCGCUGGAACAAACGGAAUCAAAGCAAUUUGAUAAAGCAAAUAGUGCCCAUCAACCACCUGAAGAAGUGCAGUUCAUAACUUCAGAUCCUGUAACAAGUGUUGUAAAAUCUGAUUCAUUUCCGGUUAAUCGAUCAAAGGCUGCAGGAAUACUUCAACUGAUGGGACCUGAUCGCCAGGCUAAGUAUAAUGCUUGUAAUGUUGACGAUUUCGAUUCUCUAGACGAUAAAAUUCUCGCACGCGUUUCAAGUUGCUUGAGCCAUUAAACUAUACCCAGCAAGAUUUCAAAUGUGCCCCCGAGGAUAUAGAUAGCACAACGGAUAAUCCUGAAACGAAGGAGGAAAUACUAGCGGAAUAUUUGGUCGAAGAGCCAACCAACGAAUUCGAAUGUCACUACAUUUUGGAUAUUGACCCUGAAGCACCCGAAGGCGAGGUAGAACUGAUUGCGGAAAACCAAGAACUACAAACCGACAAUGACCAUUUGAAAAAUAAUGUUGUCGAGUCCAAUGAUGCUUCUCAACAGAACUGUAGCACCUUUCUACCUUCUUGGAAUCACCAGAAACACCACAUCGAAGAGGGAAUGUGAGAUAUAAACGAAGGAGUCCUGCACUUCUCACGUCUCGCCGACGAUUGCUCUACCAUAAAGCUAUUGAGGAAGAGAAGAAAAGAGAAACAGAAGCAAAGCUGAAGAAAGCUGAACAACGAAAGUACAUGAAAGCCGAGAAAUGGAAAAAGAAAAACGAUGCAGAGAAAUUGAAGAAAACUGAACAACAUAAACAUACAAAAACAAGAAAAUAAAAAAAUGAAAAACUGUGGUACAAUAUUUUCCAAAUUUUGUUUAUAAUAAUAAAUUUCAGUGAACUAGUAUAUUCUUUGUUCAUGAUAUAUUUUAUGAA
Long non-coding RNA from Topomyia yanbarensis, 2442 nucleotides. RefSeq lists it as uncharacterized. The record is from RefSeq and is a predicted model, not a curated record. Lineage: Eukaryota; Metazoa; Arthropoda; Insecta; Diptera; Culicidae. The transcript has 3 exons.